GAUAAAUGGCUGAGCGGUCAAAAGCAUCGGUUUUGAAAACCGGUAUACGUUAGUAUCGGGGGUUCAAAUCCCUCUUUAUC
Molecule: transfer RNA, 80 nt
Filed under: Diacronema lutheri
Lineage: Eukaryota; Haptophyta; Pavlovophyceae; Pavlovales; Pavlovaceae
Rfam family: tRNA
About the family: Transfer RNA (tRNA) molecules are approximately 80 nucleotides in length. Their secondary structure includes four short double-helical elements and three loops (D, anti-codon, and T loops).
Source: RNAcentral